This 629-nucleotide ribosomal RNA is filed under the name Aspergillus sp. BAB-3222. RNAcentral describes it as "eukaryotic LSU rRNA". The stretch from base 215 to 368 matches the Rfam family "5.8S ribosomal RNA". Lineage: Eukaryota; Fungi; Ascomycota; Eurotiomycetes; Eurotiales; Aspergillaceae. The record is from RNAcentral.
UUUCCGUAGGUGAACCUGCGGAAGGAUCAUUACCGAGUGUAGGGUUCCUAGCGAGCCCAACCUCCCACCCGUGUUUACUGUACCUUAGUUGCUUCGGCGGGCCCGCCAUUCAUGGCCGCCGGGGGCUCUCAGCCCCGGGCCCGCGCCCGCCGGAGACACCACGAACUCUGUCUGAUCUAGUGAAGUCUGAGUUGAUUGUAUCGCAAUCAGUUAAAACUUUCAACAAUGGAUCUCUUGGUUCCGGCAUCGAUGAAGAACGCAGCGAAAUGCGAUAACUAGUGUGAAUUGCAGAAUUCCGUGAAUCAUCGAGUCUUUGAACGCACAUUGCGCCCCCUGGUAUUCCGGGGGGCAUGCCUGUCCGAGCGUCAUUGCUGCCCAUCAAGCACGGCUUGUGUGUUGGGUCGUCGUCCCCUCUCCGGGGGGGACGGGCCCCAAAGGCAGCGGCGGCACCGCGUCCGAUCCUCGAGCGUAUGGGGCUUUGUCACCCGCUCUGUAGGCCCGGCCGGCGCUUGCCGAACGCAAAUCAAUCUUUUUCCAGGUUGACCUCGGAUCAGGUAGGGAUACCCGCUGAACUUAAGCAUAUCAAUAAGCGGAGGAAAAGAAACCAACCGGGAUUGCCUCAGUAACUG